RNAcentral lists this non-coding RNA (89 nucleotides) under Pseudomonas umsongensis. The record is from RNAcentral. Lineage: Bacteria; Pseudomonadati; Pseudomonadota; Gammaproteobacteria; Pseudomonadales; Pseudomonadaceae.
CUUUAUGGUGGCCAUGCGCAGGGCGCCUUCGGGCGCGCCGGUUUUCUUGCACCUCCCGGUCUACCAACCUGUGCAUGGCCACCACCCUU